This 460-nucleotide ribosomal RNA is filed under the name uncultured bacterium. RNAcentral's name for it is "partial 16S ribosomal RNA". It matches the Rfam family "Bacterial small subunit ribosomal RNA", at positions 338 to 795 of the family's 1533-position model. The record is from RNAcentral.
CCUACGGGUGGCAGCAGUGAGGAAUAUUGGUCAAUGGACGAGAGUCUGAACCAGCCAAGUAGCGUGAAGGAGGACUGCCCUGUGGGUUGUAAACUUCUUUUAUAUGGGAAUAAAACGUUCCACGUGUGGGAUGUUGUAUGUACCAGAUGAAUAAGGAUCGGCUAACUCCGUGCCAGCAGCCGCGGUAAUACGGAGGAUCCGAGCGUUAUCCGGAUUUAUUGGGUUUAAAGGGAGCGUAGGUGGAAUGUUAAGUCAGUGGUGAAAUUUUGCGGCUCAACCGUAGAACUGCAGUUGAAACUGGCAGUCUUGAGUACAGUAGAGGUGGGCGGAAUUCGUGGUGUAGCGGUGAAAUGCUUAGAUAUCACGAAGAACUCCGAUUGCGAAGGCAGUUCACUGGACUGCAACUGACACUGAGGCUCGAAAGUGUGGGUAUCAAACAGGAUUAGAUACCCUUGUAGUC